UACGAAGGGGGCUAGCGUUGCUCGGAAUCACUGGGCGUAGAGCGCACGUAGGCGGAUCUUUAAGUCAGGGGUGAAAUCCUGGAGCUCAACUCCAGAACUGCCUUUGAUACUGGGGAUCUCGAGUCCGGAAGAGGUGAGUGGAACUCCGAGUGUAGAGGUGAAAUUCGUAGAUAUUCGGAAGAACACCAGUGGCGAAGGCGGCUCACUGGUCCGGUACUGACGCUGAGGUGCGAAAGCGUGGGGAGCAAACAGG
RNAcentral lists this ribosomal RNA (253 nucleotides) under uncultured bacterium. Its description in RNAcentral is "partial 16S ribosomal RNA". It matches the Rfam family "Bacterial small subunit ribosomal RNA", at positions 524 to 776 of the family's 1533-position model. The record is from RNAcentral.